AUUGAACGCUGGCGGCAGGCCUAACACAUGCAAGUCGAGCGGAUGACGGGAGCUUGCUCCUUGAUUCAGCGGCGGACGGGUGAGUAAUGCCUAGGAAUCUGCCUGGUAAUGGGGGACAACGUUUCGAAAGGAACGCUAAUACCGCAUACGUCCUACGGGAGAAAGCAGGGGACCUUCGGGCCUUGCGCUAUCAGAUGAGCCUAGGUCGGAUUAGCUAGUUGGUGGGGUAAUGGCUCACCAAGGCGACGAUCCGUAACUGGUCUGAGAGGAUGAUCAGUCACACUGGGACUGAGACACGGUCCAGACUCCUACGGGAGGCAGCAGUGGGGAAUAUUGGGCAAUGGGCGAAAGCCUGAUCCAGCCAUGCCGCGUGUGUGAAGAAGGUCUUCGGAUUGUAAAGCACUUUAAGUUGGGAGGAAGGGCAGUAAGUUAAUACCUUGCUGUUUUGACGUUACCGACAGAAUAAGCACCGGCUAACUCUGUGCCAGCAGCCGCCGUAA
RNAcentral lists this ribosomal RNA (500 nucleotides) under uncultured bacterium. RNAcentral describes it as "partial 16S ribosomal RNA". It matches the Rfam family "Bacterial small subunit ribosomal RNA", at positions 30 to 523 of the family's 1533-position model. The record is from RNAcentral.